This 2606-nucleotide unclassified non-coding RNA is filed under the name Bactrocera latifrons. RNAcentral describes it as "uncharacterized LOC108970763, transcript variant X6". Lineage: Eukaryota; Metazoa; Arthropoda; Insecta; Diptera; Tephritidae. The record is from RNAcentral.
GAGUGGCGCGCACAUAUGUCUCUUAGUAACGCUCGCGCAUGCGCAUUGAUUAAGCCAAAGUGAAUUGUGCAAACGGAGCGAAGUUUUGCGAAUUUCACACGAUAAGCAAUACAAGAAAUUAGCAAAUUUGCGAAACUAUUUACACAUGUGCAUAUUAUUCGGCUGCAACUUUUAACUAACCGUACAAAACGACUUGCCAGAGUUGAGCAGAGCGCGCGCAUGCGUUGGCCGAAGUGUUGCAAGAUCAAGCGCCGAUCACUAUCAGACAAAGGAAGAACUGACCGACAAAGAAAUGCUGAAAAUUUGCAAAAUAAAUGCCUGUCCGAAUGGCACACUGGGUCUACACUUAAGUCGAGCGCCCUGGGAUCCCUACCCGUGGGUGAGUGGCAUACAGGAGGGCUCCAGCGCGGAAGAAGCCGGCAUGCGCGUCGGCGAUACAGUGCUGGAGUUCAAUGGCAACGAUGUGCUGGGACAGAAAAUUUUCGAAAUUGCAAGUAGAAUACGGGAACAUUGGCAGAGUGGUGCAACCGAUGUAAGUGUGGUGAUUUGGCGCAACCAAACGGAGGAAGACAGCAGCUGCAGUGAGGACAAUGAUGAUGAUUAUGAAGAAGCGAAUGUAACGAACAGUAGUGAUAGUGAAACGAUGGCAUCACAGGUGGAGGGCCAACGAAAGCGUGUGCAGCGGGCGCAUCAGCAGCAUUCCAGCAUUAAUCAGCAGUCACUGCAGAAGUUCGCCACAUGCCUGCAACACAUUGCCCAAUUAUUGGAGUGUCCUGUUUGCCUUGAGGUGAUUCGGCCACCUGGUUGGCAGUGCUGUAACGGACAUGUGUUGUGCAACAACUGCCGCAGUCGUUCGGUCAAAUGUCCGGUGUGUCGUGUGCCGUUAGGGCCCAGAGGACGCUGCCUGCUCGCGGAUAAAUUAUUCACCGUGUUGGCUGAGAGUUUUCCCUGUGAUGGCGUUCGAAACAGUCGAAAUUCCACAAAGGAGAAGCGCAAAUGUUCACCUGAAUCCAAGGGGCGUCCCAAGGCGACCACGACAGCAAGAAUUCAGCAAAAUGAAAGCGAUCAGCAACACCCACAUCACCAACACCAACAACAACAGCAACAAAUCAAAUCCAAAGAAAUGCAACAGCAAGAUAAGAAGAAGGUCAAAACUGCUAUUGGUAGCCAAAAGAAUGUGUCGAAUGGAAAAGUUGCUGCCAAGGAAUGCACAGCAACACCAAAUGCGCACACCGAGGCAGCACAACAAGUGAACACCACGACUGACAAUUACAAAAGCAACAACAAAAAGCUAGAGGAGGCUGCAGGAGCUGAGGACGGCAGUUCAACGCAACGCAGUCACUGGCAAUGGCGGCGGAGUCGGGCGCGACUUGGAAAAGAACAGCAUCAACAACAACAACUGCAGGCGAGUGAAGCAUCACAGCAAGUUUAUAAAAGUUACGCAGAUGAGCAAUUGUCCAUCACAGCGUCCAGGGCGACGACAGCGUUGAGGAGGGUCCCACCAACGACAACGACGACGACAAAUGUCAGCUGUUGAAGAGCACAGUCCUAUAACUUAAGAGAACUAGCGCGGGGUUAAGGAGAUAGGGGGGUACUUGCGAUGCAUUUUGUGUAACCAACUGUAGGUUGGACUGCUCGCGUGGUCGGAUGAGGGGCGUUGAAAGUAUUGCUGGGCGGUUGCAUGUGUGUGGCGUUGUGACGGAAGGAAAUGCGCUGGUCAACAAUGCGCUCGUUAAACCCAAGUUGGAGUCAAGUAAGAAAUCAGCAGAUAACACAAAACAAGGUAGAAAAGUCACGAAAUCUUCAACAAAAAACGAGCAUCAGCCUGAGGGUACGAAAGUAACAAUUUAAGUCGAAAACUAAAAGUAGAAAUAAAUAAAGUAAACAAAAAAAAAAAAAAAAAAAAAAAAAAAAAAAAAAAAAAAAAAAAAAAAAAAAAAAAAAAAAAAAAAAAAAUGCAGAGCUGUUGCAGUUGCAAUGAUGAAGUUGCAAACAGCUACAACAACAACAACUAUAAGUUCUACAACUAAAAUAAAACAACACUUAUAAUGCCCAGAUUAGCAGUUGUUGGCAUUAGGCGAGCCGAGUUGAGCCGAGCCGCGUGUGGCACGCCGUUGUGUUUUGCCGCUGGCAGCUACUGCUGGGGAUUAGCAACAAUAUCAAAAUUAUCAUUGUCCAACUGGGAAAUCAUGUGGCAUUUGGAACGUGCAACAUUCAGCACAUUGAAGUGUGGUGAGAAAGCGAACAAAACAAUGAGUGGCGCUGUGCUGGCAAUGCAACAACAAUAAUGUUUGCAACAAAUUACUGCAAAUAACAGUGUGUAACGAUGGCACCACCAACAACAACAGUAAGCUGAGACAACACAAUAUGUAGUAAGGCAACAAUCAAGUUGUUUACAAAGAAAUGAGGCAACAAAAUUUGAGCUUGCCUUCAAUGAUACUAUUUACCAAAAUUCGGAAACUCAAGGCACUCAAAAAAAUGUUUAACAUUAACAAAACAUGUCAUGUAACUGGCUAGGAACUGGUUUUUUUUCGUACAUGUUUGUAACUAGUCUUAUUUUGAAGAAAUUUUGCUAAUUGACGCGGUAGUUAGAAACAAAAAUUAUA